UACGUAGGGUGCGAGCGUUGUCCGGAUUUAUUGGGCGUAAAGAGCUCGUAGGCGGUCUGUCGCGUCGGCUGUGAAAACCCGGAGCUCAACUCCGGGCCUGCAGUCGAUACGGGCAGACUGGAGUUCGGCAGGGGAGACUGGAAUUCCUGGUGUAGCGGUGAAAUGCGCAGAUAUCAGGAGGAACACCGGUGGCGAAGGCGGGUCUCUGGGCCGAUAUUGACGCUGAGGAGCGAAGGCGUGGGGAGCGAACAGG
RNAcentral lists this ribosomal RNA (253 nucleotides) under uncultured bacterium. RNAcentral's name for it is "partial 16S ribosomal RNA". It matches the Rfam family "Bacterial small subunit ribosomal RNA", at positions 524 to 776 of the family's 1533-position model. The record is from RNAcentral.